Non-coding RNA from Lentinus tigrinus ALCF2SS1-7, 94 nucleotides. Lineage: Eukaryota; Fungi; Basidiomycota; Agaricomycetes; Polyporales; Polyporaceae. The record is from the annotation of a GenBank genome assembly.
GGCCUGGUGGUCUAGUAGUAUGAUUCCUUCUUAGGGCGUUAAGCAGUGCUUGCGUAUUUGGAGGAGGUCCCGGGUUCAAUUCCCGGCCAGGCCC